This 295-nucleotide ribosomal RNA is filed under the name uncultured bacterium. RNAcentral describes it as "partial 16S ribosomal RNA". It matches the Rfam family "Bacterial small subunit ribosomal RNA", at positions 775 to 1067 of the family's 1533-position model. The record is from RNAcentral.
GGAUUAGAUACCCUGGUAGUCCACGCCGUAAACGAUGUGUGCUAGACGUCGGGGGUUACGCCUUCGGUGUCGCAGCUAACGCAUUAAGCACACCGCCUGGGGAGUACGGCCGCAAGGUUAAAACUCAAAGGAAUUGACGGGGGCCCGCACAAGCGGUGGAGCAUGUGGUUUAAUUCGACGCAACGCGCAGAACCUUACCAGCCCUUGACAUGGGGAGUGUGGUUACCGGAGACGGUUUCCUUCAGUUCGGCUGGCUCCCACACAGGUGCUGCAUGGCUGUCGUCAGCUCGUGCCG